Unclassified non-coding RNA from Callithrix jacchus (white-tufted-ear marmoset), 305 nucleotides. It matches the Rfam family "Metazoan signal recognition particle RNA". From Rfam's summary of the family: The signal recognition particle (SRP) is a universally conserved ribonucleoprotein. NCBI's taxonomy places the organism in Eukaryota, Metazoa, Chordata, Mammalia, Primates, Cebidae. The record is from Ensembl.
UCUGGGUGCAGUGGUGCAUGCCUGUAGUCCCAGCUACUCAGGAGGCUGAGGCUGGGGGAUUGCUUGAGCCCAGGAGUUCUGGGCUGUAGUGUGCUGUGCGGAUCGGGUGUCUGCACUGAGUUCAGCAUCAAUGUGGUCACCUCCCAGGAUCGGGGGACCACCAGGUUGCCUAAGGAGGGGUAAACCGGCCAAGGUAGGAAACAAAGCAAGUCAAAACCCCCAUUGCUGACCAGUAGUGGGAUCGCGCCUGUGAAUGAAUAACCACUGCCCUCCAGCCUGGGCAACAUAGAGAGACCCGGUCUCUA